UGUAAUACUAAGACAAGUCCAAUCAGGGAAGGGCAGGACAUGUUUGUGCAACCGAUUCAGACCUGGGCUCAUAGUUAUGGUACAGUGGGCACAUACAGAAGCUGAAUGAUGAUCUAAGAGAUACUGACAGAAUGAUACACAGAAGAAUGGGUAAAGAAUGACUCAAGCAAGGUCUUAUACAAAUACAUCUUAAAAAAAAAAAAAAACUUCCCUGCAAGUCGAUAACAGGAAAGAUCUGAGGCUGUGAAUUCUUCCAUAAAUAUCUCCAAUUACUUAUUCAAAUACAUAACUAUGACUUAAAUAAAAUCUGCAUAUGUG
Molecule: small RNA, 318 nt
Filed under: Rattus norvegicus (Norway rat)
Lineage: Eukaryota; Metazoa; Chordata; Mammalia; Rodentia; Muridae
Description: uncharacterized LOC103692606
Source: RNAcentral